UCUCUGGUAGUUUAAUAAGAACACGAGAUUGCAAAUCUUGGGGUAAGUGAAUUCUUCUGGAGAU
This 64-nucleotide transfer RNA is filed under the name Kuphus polythalamius. RNAcentral's name for it is "tRNA-Cys". Lineage: Eukaryota; Metazoa; Mollusca; Bivalvia; Myida; Teredinidae. The record is from RNAcentral.